GUCGGGGUGCUGGAAUGGUAGACAGUGUUGACUUAAAAUCAACUGAGCGCAAGCUCGUGAGGGUUCGACUCCCUCCCCCGACACCA
This 86-nucleotide transfer RNA is filed under the name bacterium. RNAcentral's name for it is "tRNA-Leu". It matches the Rfam family "tRNA". From Rfam's summary of the family: Transfer RNA (tRNA) molecules are approximately 80 nucleotides in length. Their secondary structure includes four short double-helical elements and three loops (D, anti-codon, and T loops). The record is from RNAcentral.